This 470-nucleotide ribosomal RNA is filed under the name uncultured organism. RNAcentral describes it as "partial 16S ribosomal RNA". It matches the Rfam family "Bacterial small subunit ribosomal RNA", at positions 331 to 797 of the family's 1533-position model. The record is from RNAcentral.
GUACACUCCUACGGGAGGCAGCAGUGAGGAAUAUUGGACAAUGGGUGGAAGCCUGAUCCAGCCAUCCCGCGUGCAGGAAGACGGCCCUAUGGGUUGUAAACUGCUUUUAUCUGGGGAUAAACCUACUUACGUGUAAGUAGCUGAAGGUACCAGAAGAAUAAGCACCGGCUAACUCCGUGCCAGCAGCCGCGGUAAUACGGAGGGUGUAAGCGUUAUCCGGAUUUAUUGGGUUUAAAGGGUCCGUAGGCGGACUGAUAAGUCAGUGGUGAAAUCCGACAGCUUAACUGUCGAACUGCCAUUGAUACUGUUAGUCUUGAGUAAGGUUGAAGUGGCUGGAAUAAGUAGUGUAGCGGUGAAAUGCAUAGAUAUUACUUAGAACACCAAUUGCGAAGGCAGGUCACUAAGUCUUAACUGACGCUGAUGGACGAAAGCGUGGGGAGCGAACAGGAUUAGAUACCCCUGUAGUCCCA